Molecule: ribosomal RNA, 253 nt
Filed under: uncultured bacterium
Lineage: Bacteria
Description: partial 16S ribosomal RNA
Rfam family: Bacterial small subunit ribosomal RNA
Source: RNAcentral
UACAGAGGUCUCGAGCGUUAAUCGGAAUUACUGGGCGUAAAGCGUGCGCAGGCGGUUUCUUAAGUCAGAUGUGAAAGCCCCGGGCUUAACCUGGGAACUGCGUUUGAAACUGGGAGACUUGAGUGUGGCAGAGGGGGGUGGAAUUCCACGUGUAGCAGUGAAAUGCGUAGAUAUGUGGAGGAACACCGAUGGCGAAGGCAGCCCCCUGGGUUAACACUGACGCUCAUGCACGAAAGCGUGGGGAGCAAACAGG